CUUCCCAGGGCCUCAUGGGUAGUUAAUUGAGAAUCUGGGGCGGGAACCAGGCCUCUGGGAUCCUUGGCCAGGCUCCUGCUACCCCAGCCUCCUCUGUGCUUGGCAACUUCAAAAGAAAUCAUAGCCAGUUCCCAGCAGAGAAAGUGCCUGCUUUGGCUCUGUCAGUGGCAGGGCCCUCCCAGGCAGGCUGGAGCGAGAGCGAUUAUGUAGGUCGCUUGGUAAUCAGAAAGAGAGCUCGAGCCCUUUAAAUGCUGGCUGUUUCGUUUGGUCCCUGAAGAUUGGAUUAGCAUCGACUGUCUGCACUGAGCUUGUAGAUAAAAGAGCCACACCAAAAGGGAACAGCAGCCUGCAAGGCCCCUAAAACAGCGCCUGGCACAUAAGAGGCACUCAAUUACACAGCUAUGGAAUGUAAGAGCAGGCUGUUGGUGGGGGAAAUAGAAAUGUCUUCCUGGAAGAGACUUGAAGAUCAUGGAGUCCAGCCUAAGGCUCAGGUUUCCUAAGGACAGAUUUAAGCAAAGCAGAGAUUCCCCAGCUGUGGAGGUCAGAAGUCUGAAACCAUUUUCACUGGACCAACAUCAAGGAAUUGGAAGGGCCGGUUCCUUCUGGAGGCUUUGAGGACAGAAAUUCUUCCCGGCCCUUUGUAGCUGCUGGUGGCCCGCCUAUGUUUCUUGGCUUGUGGCCCCUUCCCUCCUCUUCAAAUCAUACCAUUCCAGUCUUUUUUUCGAUCAUCGCAUCACCUUCUCGUCUGUAGUUAAAGCUCCCUCUGCCUCUUCUAAAAACCCUUGUGAUUACAUUAAGGCCCUACCACCGAGAUAAUCCAGGGUAAUCACUCCAUUUCAAGAUCCUUAGCUUAAUGGCAUCUGCAAAGUCCCGUGCGCCGUAUAAGGUAACACAGUCACAGGCUGUGGGGAUUAGGACAUGGCUAUCUUUCGGCGGCCCAUUAUUCCGCCUGCCACACCUGCCACAUGGCACUAAUUUGCAAUGCUUACAGUCAGCCUAGAAUUAGAACUGGAAUGGAAUAAUGGAAUGAUUCUAAGUUAGUGUGUGAGGCCUGGCAUAUGGGAGCUGUAACAGAGGAAAAGAUUGCACGUGGCAUUUUCUCUGUUUCAAGAACCAUGCCAGCCUCAUUGAAAUUCCACAUCCCACUGCCUUCUCCUGACACUGUAUCAUUUACAAUGCUCCUGAGGCUAGUACAGUGACUCAUUAUUAUUAGUUAAUGAAGCAUCUAAGGUCUAAGCCCACAGUCAGCAGCUGGGAUAAAGAAUGAGGACAGAGCUGGGCUGAAGGGAGUCUGUAGCUGGGAUGUAGACCGGAGGAGACAGAGGCCAUGCUGUCCUCGGGCAUUCAUUUCACAAACAUUUACCGAGCACUUAGUAAUGGUUAGCAAUGGUUCCUGGAACCAUAUGGGUAGUCCUGACCCUAGAGAAUUCACAGGCCAGUGAGAGAGACCGACAUGUGCAUGAAUUUGCCAAGACGCCCAUGAAAAUGCUCAGAAGGGGGUGGGUGUUGGGGGGCAUUGAGGACAGUUUCUGCCUCGGGGUAUCAGGGGAGGAAGCUUUUCGGAGGAGGGACAGCUGACAUGAGUCUUGGAGGCUGACCAAACAUUCUGAGUUUGGGAAAGGGAAGGGAAGGGGGCUUGGCCAGGAGAAAGAGGUAGACGGGUGCUAAUGACAACAGUGAAAAGGCCUUUUUCACCGCGGCUGGAGUGAAAUGCAGAGAUAUUCUGGCAGGAGGAAAAAAAUAUAUGGAAAAUUUGCCUUUAGGCUGCAGCGGUGGCAGGGAGGUGACAUUUGGCUGAUGAUGGGAACAGAGGCAGAGUCCACGAGGGAGUCUGGCUUGGGGAAUAAAGAGCCAAACGAAAUCACUCUCUGAAUAAAUUCAGGAGGCUGCGUGGAGAGGCGAGACGCUGAUGCGGUAGAGACGGAACAGAGUUGGGGUCACAUGAACAGCUCGAGGGUGUACUAGCACUGUGACUCUGGUGAGUUCCUUAAUUCGUCUGGGCCUCAGUUUCCUCAUCUAUAAAAUGCAAAAAAUCAUAACCACCCACGGGGAUGGUUGUGUGGUAAGGGCCUGGUCUGUCUUGUUUUCUGCUGUACAUCCUGCAUCUGGUGCUCGUUUGUAAACCGAAUGAGUAAUGUCGCAAAAAAAGGUUGGCAGGGUGUCUGAUGAAUAAUAAAUGCUUAGUGAGUGAAUUAAGUUAUUAAGCUUGGGAGAAAAAUUCAAUGAUCAUCAGCCCUGAUGUCUCGCUGAGUGGCCCCUGAUAUUCCUGAUAAACUCUCGCCCCCUAUUGGGACAUGGCAGCCUGAAACCAUGGGAAAGAUCCCUGAAGCUGGACUGGGGGAGAAGGUGGGCCUUGCUUCCAGUUCUGUCACUCAUGAACUGUGAUUCUGAGGACGCCCACCACGUUUGGUUUUCUCCAGGCCACACCCAACUGGGUUUGCCUCUUUCCUAGACAAGGUUACCGAGGGCUGAGGAAGGCUACCAGGCCACUUGGGGUUUCUUGAGCUUCAUGCCCUUUCCUUCCUUCUCAAUCAGCAGUCCCACAGAUCUUCCAGAACUUUCCAUGGGUCUUGCACCAUAGAAAGUGUAUGGUCUCUGGAGCUAUGUGACCUGGAACAAGUUUAACCUGUCUGACCUCAAAGAAAGGUUUUAUUUCUUUACCUGGGCGUAACAGCUACCUGAAUUUGAAUCUUAGUUCCAGAAUUCUUUAGCUGUGUGACUUCUAGAGCUCAACAUCUCUGUUCUUCAUGGGUACUGUAUGGCUAAUAACACCUCCUCCCAUGCUUACUGUGAGGAUUGGUUCUCAAGGCUGGCAUAACCAGACUCACACCUGAAGAUUGGGUCCUACCUACCUCAGGCUCUCAGAUGAGUCCCGCCUCAGGCUGUCCAGAUGCUAAUUCCACCUGUGCUGAGUCUCUUCACUCUGGGUACCAGUGUUUGAGACCCAGGGGCUAGAUUUUUCAUCCAGCCUACUGAUGGAACACCAGCUUCUUCCCCAGGGCUGGGAGGAUCCCUGUAGAGGAAACCUCUGAAGGCUGAUUCUUCUCAUUUCCUCCUCAAAUACAAGUGGGGACGGUGAUCCUGGCCAAUAACACAUGCAUCACACCAGAGACCGCUGGGCCCAGAGGGAUAAUUAUUUUGAGAGAAAAGACUUCAAAAGGAAGCCUAUUAAUCCCUGCCUGGUUUUUUUUUAUUUCAUUGAAUAAGCUAUCACUAAUUUUUGUGGGCCCUCAAAUAAGAGAAGACAGUGGCUUUCCCUUCAAAUGUUUCAGGAGACUGUUCUUCACAUCACCAACAAGUGCCAUGUGAUGUGAGAUCUUUCUGCAGCUGCAGGGAGGGGGAGGUGGUCAAGAACAGACCUGCUACCCCUCAGUGGACUUUCUGCCUCUCUCUCCCUCUCUCCCUGCCUCUCUAACCCCCUCUCUCUCAAUCUC
Molecule: long non-coding RNA, 3434 nt
Organism: Felis catus (domestic cat)
Lineage: Eukaryota; Metazoa; Chordata; Mammalia; Carnivora; Felidae
Exons: 5
Source: RefSeq, a predicted model, not a curated record